This 299-nucleotide small RNA is filed under the name Arabidopsis thaliana (thale cress). RNAcentral's name for it is "ATSL161490". Lineage: Eukaryota; Viridiplantae; Streptophyta; Magnoliopsida; Brassicales; Brassicaceae. The record is from RNAcentral.
AAUUUAAAAGGGAUUUUAAAAGCUUUGAAAACUGGUUAACAUGGUUUACAAAUCGUUUUAAAGCGUAAGUAAGUGGCAUAGAAUAAUUUACAAGGGAUUUUAAAAGCUUUGAAAAGUGGUUAACAUGGUUUACAAAUCGUUUUAAAGCGUAAGUAAGUGGCAUAGAAUUAUUUACAAGAGAUUUUAAAAGCUUUGAAAAGUGGUUAACAUGGUUUACAAAUUGUGUUAAAGCGUAAGUAAGUGGCAUAGAAUUAUUUACAAGGGAUUUUAAAAGCUUUGAAAAGUGGUUAACAUGGUUU